RNAcentral lists this ribosomal RNA (292 nucleotides) under uncultured bacterium. RNAcentral describes it as "partial 16S ribosomal RNA". It matches the Rfam family "Bacterial small subunit ribosomal RNA", at positions 505 to 796 of the family's 1533-position model. The record is from RNAcentral.
GUGCCAGCAGCCGCGGUAAGACGUAGGGUGCAAGCGUUGUCCGGAAUUAUUGGGCGUAAAGAGUUCGUAGGCGGUCUGCUAAGUCUGGUGUUAAAAACCGAAGCUCAACUUCGACACGGCAUCGGAAACUGGUAGGCUAGAGUAUGGUAGAGGCAAGGGGAAUUCCCGGUGUAGCGGUGAAAUGCGUAGAUAUCGGGAGGAACAUCAGUGGCGAAAGCGCCUUGCUGGGCCAUUACUGACGCUGAGGAACGAAAGCUAGGGUAGCGAAAGGGAUUAGAUACCCCUGUAGUCC